RNAcentral lists this long non-coding RNA (224 nucleotides) under Ananas comosus (pineapple). Its description in RNAcentral is "long non-coding RNA (ACOM_LNC026568)". Lineage: Eukaryota; Viridiplantae; Streptophyta; Magnoliopsida; Poales; Bromeliaceae. The record is from RNAcentral.
ACCGUUAGACGAGAAAAUGCCUCAUAUCGACCAAUAAAAUUACAAAUUUUGAAACCCUUUGAUCAUUAGGUCAAUAAUGUCGAAAAAAUUUAAAUUUGGUUUCUAGAUACUUCAAUUGGUAUAUAUCAUAUUCAACGGUGUCGAUCGUCGAUUUGGAGGCUUCAUCAUCGAAAACAAAUGGGUGUCAACGAAGUCCGUUUGCUACCGAUAGUAUUUCAACUCAA